Molecule: ribosomal RNA, 497 nt
Filed under: uncultured bacterium
Lineage: Bacteria
Description: partial 16S ribosomal RNA
Rfam family: Bacterial small subunit ribosomal RNA
Source: RNAcentral
GAUGAACGCUGGCGGCGUGCCUAAUACAUGCAAGUCGAGCGAACAGACGAGGAGCUUGCUCCUCUGACGUUAGCGGCGGACGGGUGAGUAACACGUGGAUAACCUACCUAUAAGACUGGGAUAACUUCGGGAAACCGGAGCUAAUGCCGGAUAAUAUAUUGAACCGCAUGGUUCAAUAGUGAAAGACGGUUUUGCUGUCACUUAUAGAUGGAUCCGCGCCGCAUUAGCUAGUUGGUAAGGUAACGGCUUACCAAGGCAACGAUGCGUAGCCGACCUGAGAGGGUGAUCCGCCACACUGGAACUGAGACACGGUCCAGACUCCUACGAGAGGCAGCAGUAGGCAAUCUUCCGCAAUGGGCGCAAGCUUGACGGAGCAACGCCGCGUGAGUGCUGAAGGUCCUCGGAUCGUAAAACUCUGUUAUUAGGGAAGAACAAAUGUGUAAGUAACUAUGCACGUCUUGACGGUACCUAAUCAGAAAGCCACGGCUAACUACGUG